AUUGAACGCUGGCGGCAUGCCUAACACAUGCAAGUCGAACGGCAGCACGGGAGCAAUCCUGGUGGCGAGUGGCGAACGGGUGAGUACUACAUCGGAACGUGCCCAGUUGUGGGGGAUAACCCGGCGAAAUACGGACUAAUACUGCAUACGUCCUACGGGUGUAAGCGGGGGAUCGCAAGACCUCGCGCUAUCGGAGCGUCCGAUGUCAGAUUUCUGUUUGGUGGGGUAAAGGCUUACCAAGGCGACGAUCUGUAGCUGGCCUGAGAGGAUGACCAGCCACACUGGGAAUGAGACACGGCCCAGACUCCUAAGGGAGGCAGCAGUGGGGAAUUUUGGACAAUGGGCGCAAGCCUGAUCCAGCCAUGCCGCGUGGGGGAAGAAGGCCUUCGGGUUGUAAAGAACUUUUGUCAGGGAAGAAACGCUCCGGGCUAAUACCAAGGAGUAAUGACGGUACCUAAAGAAUAAGCACCGGCUAACUACGUG
Molecule: ribosomal RNA, 483 nt
Filed under: uncultured bacterium
Lineage: Bacteria
Description: partial 16S ribosomal RNA
Rfam family: Bacterial small subunit ribosomal RNA
Source: RNAcentral